Molecule: ribosomal RNA, 502 nt
Filed under: uncultured bacterium
Lineage: Bacteria
Description: partial 16S ribosomal RNA
Rfam family: Bacterial small subunit ribosomal RNA
Source: RNAcentral
AUUGAACGCUGGCGGCAUGCCUAACACAUGCAAGUCGAACGGCAGCACAGCCCGCAAGGGUGGGUGGCGAGUGGCGGACGGGUGAGGAAUACAUGGGAAUCUACCCUGUCGUGGGGGAUAACGUAGGGAAACUUACGCUAAUACCGCAUACGACCGAGAGGUGAAAGCGGCGGACCGCAAGGCGUCGCGCGGCUGGAUGAGCCCAUGUCGGAUUAGCUAGUUGGCGGGGUAAAGGCCCACCAAGGGGACGAUCCGUAGCUGGUCUGAGAGGAUGAUCAGCCACACUGGAACUGAGACACGGUCCAGACUCCUACGGGAGUCAGCAGUGGGGAAUAUUGGACAAUGGGCGCAAGCCUGAUCCAGCAAUGCCGCGUGGGUGAAGAAGGCCUUCGGGUUGUAAAGCCCUUUUGUACGGGAAGAAAUCCUGUCGGUUAAUACCCGGCGGGGAUGACGGUACCGUAAGAAUAAGCACCGGCUAACUUCGUGCCAGCCGCCGCGGUAA